GUCGAGAAUAAUUCACAAUGGGGGCAACCCUGAUGGAGCGACGCCGCGUGGAGGAUAAGGUCUUCGGAUUGUAAACUCCUGUCAUGCGUGAACAAGGUUGCUUGGUUAAUACCUGGGCAAAUUGAUGGUAACGCAAGAGGAAGAGACGGCUAACUCUGUGCCAGCAGCCGCGGUAAUACAGAGGUCUCAAGCGUUGUUCGGAAUCACUGGGCGGAAAGGGUGCGUAGGUGGCGUGGUAAGUCAGAUGUGAAAGCCCGGGGCUCAACAGCGGAACUGCAUCCGAUACUGCCAUGCUAGAGUACUGGAGAGGUGACUAGAAUUCUCGGUGUAGCAGUGAAAUGCGUAGAUAUCGAGAGGAAUACCAAAGGCGUAGGCAGGUCACUGGACAGUUACUGACACUGAGGCACGAAGGCCAGGGGAGCGAACGGGAUUAGAAACCCGGGUAGUCC
This 449-nucleotide ribosomal RNA is filed under the name uncultured bacterium. Its description in RNAcentral is "partial 16S ribosomal RNA". It matches the Rfam family "Bacterial small subunit ribosomal RNA", at positions 354 to 796 of the family's 1533-position model. The record is from RNAcentral.